UGGGGUAGUCGCUCAGUUGGUAGAGCAAAUGACUUUUAAUGCAUGUUGUCCGGGGUUCAAUUCCCCGGUAAGCCAGCCA
Molecule: transfer RNA, 79 nt
Filed under: Clostridium carboxidivorans P7
Lineage: Bacteria; Bacillati; Bacillota; Clostridia; Eubacteriales; Clostridiaceae
Description: tRNA-Lys
Rfam family: tRNA
About the family: Transfer RNA (tRNA) molecules are approximately 80 nucleotides in length. Their secondary structure includes four short double-helical elements and three loops (D, anti-codon, and T loops). Further hydrogen bonds mediate the characteristic L-shaped molecular structure. tRNAs have two regions of fundamental functional importance: the anti-codon, which is responsible for specific mRNA codon recognition, and the 3' end, to which the tRNAs corresponding amino acid is attached (by aminoacyl-tRNA synthetases). tRNAs cope with the degeneracy of the genetic code in two manners: having more than one tRNA (with a specific anti-codon) for a particular amino acid; and 'wobble' base-pairing, i.e. permitting non-standard base-pairing at the 3rd anti-codon position.
Source: RNAcentral